Etheostoma cragini (Arkansas darter) is the source of this 585-nucleotide long non-coding RNA. RefSeq lists it as uncharacterized. The record is from RefSeq and is a predicted model, not a curated record. The transcript has 3 exons. Lineage: Eukaryota; Metazoa; Chordata; Actinopteri; Perciformes; Percidae.
GCUCUACAUCUCUAACUAGACGUUUUCUUUCUUUUCUUUCAGGACGACGUCGAAACCAAGAAGCAGAAAACCGACGACGAUGAUUGAUGUGUUUCCCCCCCGCCCCCACCACCCAGAUCCAACCCCCCCCACCCCCCAUCCUGCUGAACCACUUCCCGAUUCUUCACCUCGGACUUGUUUUUUCAAAGAGUCCCAGGUGGGGGGGCGGGAGGACGGAUUUAAAAGGAGAAGAAAAUAAUAAUAAUAAAAAAAAAAAUACAACAUGGUCAUUAGCAAGUAGAGUUCAACACACAAAUACACACACACACACACACACACUUCGAUCUCCCCUCAAAACAAAAUUUUCUAGAGCGACCCGCCAACGCGUUGACGCAGAAAUCCGGCUUCUCUUCAACAACAACAACCCGAAGAAAAAAAAAAGGAGAAUUAGUUUGUAUUUUUAUUUACAUUUUAUAUUUUUGUACAUAUUGUUCGGAGGGGGGGUCGGUUUCUCUCUCUCGGCAGACCAAAAUCGGUGCUUCUUUAACGAAAUAUUUUACUCGGUUGACCACGUUAACGAUAUCUCGACAAAAAACAUGAAAACAU